GUAGGGGGCAAGCGUUGUCCGGAUUUACUGGGCGUAAAGCGCGUGUAGGCGGCCGCACAGGUCCGUUGUGAAAACUGGAGGCUUAACCUCCAGACGUCGACGGAAACCGUGUGGCUAGAGUCCGGAAGAGGAGAGUGGAAUUCCUGGUGUAGCGGUGAAAUGCGCAGAUAUCAGGAAGAACACCAAUGGCGAAGGCAGCUCUCUGGGACGGUACUGACGCUGAGACGCGAAAGCGUGGGGAGCGAACAGGGAUUAGAUACCCUGGUAGUCCACGCCGUAAACGAUGGGUGCUAGGUGUGGGAGGUGUCGACUCCUUCCCGUGCCGUAGCUAACGCAUUAAGCACCCCCGCCUGGGGAUACGGCCGCAAGGCUA
Molecule: ribosomal RNA, 373 nt
Filed under: uncultured organism
Description: partial 16S ribosomal RNA
Rfam family: Bacterial small subunit ribosomal RNA
Source: RNAcentral